AUGAAUUGCUUGGCCUGGAACUAUCGAGGACUGGGGUUGGACUCGACAGUUGGCGAACUCCGGGACCUUAUACGGUCAUACAACCCAGCGGUGGUCUUUUUAUCAGAAACUAAGAAGAGUGCAAAGGCUAUGGAGAGACUCAAAUGGAGGCUCGGGUUCCGAAGUGGUGUGGCAGUGGACUGUAAUGGGAAGAGCGGGGGGCUUGCUCUCUGGUGG
Molecule: ribosomal RNA, 216 nt
Filed under: Triticum aestivum (bread wheat)
Lineage: Eukaryota; Viridiplantae; Streptophyta; Magnoliopsida; Poales; Poaceae
Description: partial small subunit ribosomal RNA
Source: RNAcentral